Molecule: ribosomal RNA, 301 nt
Filed under: uncultured bacterium
Lineage: Bacteria
Description: partial 16S ribosomal RNA
Rfam family: Bacterial small subunit ribosomal RNA
Source: RNAcentral
CAGCCGCCGCGGUAAUACGGAGGGUGCAAGCGUUAAUCGGAAUUACUGGGCGUAAAGCGCACGCAGGCGGUCUGACAAGUCAGAUGUGAAAUCCCGGGCUUAACCUGGGAACUGCAUUUGAAACUGUCAGGCUGGAGUCUUGUAGAGGGGGGUGGAAUUCCAGGUGUAGCGGUGAAAUGCGUAGAGAUCUGGAGGAAUACCGGUGGCGAAGGCGGCCCCCUGGACAAAGACUGACGCUCAGGUGCGAAAGCGUGGGGAGCAAACAGGAUUAGAUACCCCUGUAGUCCCUGUCUCUUAUACC